UAACUUUGGCUCCAAGAAUAUUAAACUUUAGAGAGGAAUCACAAAUAUUUUCUUAAAAGAAAUUGAAAUAUGGUUUGAAAAAAUAAAGUGUAAAAGAAAACAAGUUAUAGUAAAAAAUAAAAAAACCCAACUUUCAAACAUUAUUUUGUCCAUUAGUUUUAUUUUUAUUAAGUUAAAAAUAAUCAAAUAAUUAAAAAUAAGUUAAAAAUUACAAAACAUGUUUCACAUUCACUAAUCACAAGCUAAUCUACCAAAACCAGCCAAAGCCAACCAAUAUCACUCAGGUUCGAUAUGAAAAACCACCUUUAAAUGUAUAUUUUUUGGUAUAAUUGAAGCGUACCGACCAGUAUAACCGAUACCGUAACAAAAUUAAUAACAUUGCAUAGAACACCAAAAAGGUUUUGACAUUCACAUCAUGAAAUUAAAGCAUAUAAUCAAAAGGUAUAUAAAAAUUAUUUGAGUGCACUGGAACUAAAGCCCACAAUUCCAUCCUUAAAAGCACACAUUUCCUACAAGGUUAUUAUAUCAACAACUUAGAUCAAAUACAAUUAUGAAAUCUCAACCAUUCACGAUGGACCAAUCCAUCCAUACCUCACAUGGAUCCUCACCUCACAAUGUGAGGAAAAAUAAUUUUAAAUGACAUUAAUCUCUAGGAUAUUAGCAACGGACCAUUCAUUCCUAAAAAUAAAUGAAGAGAUAGGGUAACCCUCCCUAAACCAAUUAAAAGUUACAACUUGGACCAUAAUAUUCUGCAGGAGUAAAAUGAUACAAAUGCCCAAGUCCAGCAAUUGAUUAACAAAAAUAUAUGCAAAUUUGAAAGUAAACUAAAUUAAAUUAAACUAAUUCAAUGAUUAGUACUAAGAAUUAUAAAAUUAAACAUGAAGUAAAAGAUAAAACUAAUGAUUCACGAUAGUUUAGUUAUAAUGCUAAGUUUAGACCAUUUAGUCGCACUUAAAAUGCAAAAACAGAAUAUUUAAUACUACUUUUAGCACUUCAAAUGCCAUAAAGCUAAGUUUAAAUCAUUUAGUCACAAGACCAGGUUACCCUAGAAUAUUGGUUUCACAUGCUAUGUUAUAUAUGCUUCCAAAUGUCCUUAAUAAAACUAAAUAAAAAAAGAAUUGACGUUUGUUUUUAAAACUAGUAAAAAUAGAAUGAGAUUCUAUAUCCAAACUAGAAAAUCUAUCAACCACAUUAGGCUCAGCAAUGAAUUGAUAGUUUGGAUAUUGAGUUCCUAUAUCAGAGGAUAUUAGUUUCAUACUUAUGCGAUCGGUGAUCUUAUAUCCCUUUUGCUAAUGAUCAAAGCUUUAUAAGCCAUUGUAUGCCUUGAGUGCAGGCAUUAAAAAAAAAAAGGCAAUCAUAAGCUACAUAGUUUCUUCUAUUUUGCACUUACUGCUUUGUUCUAUGUUAAACAACAUAGCAGUUCAUUCUUCAGGUUCUAUUCUCUAUUCUCACUUAUCUGUUAAUCAUUGUGAUAAUUGAAAAACAAAAGUUGUAAAAGAAUAUAAACUUUGCUUCUUCCCUUUUAACGUCUAACCUACUCUCACUCACGUUUUUUCUACUAUGGAAUAUCCUUUUAAAACUUCACUACAGGGAUAAAUAAAUACCAUAACAUCUAUGACAUAUAGGACAUAUUUGGUGAAGCAUUUUUUCACCCUUUCAACCAUCAAGCAACCUUGUAUUACAAGGAUAAGCAACAAAACUUUAUGAAAAGAAUAAAUGCUAAUAGUCAUUACCAAACGUUUCUUUCAGAAGGCCUCCUGCAAAGCAGUUGGCUUUAAUUCCCUUUCUAUUUGCCAUGAUAAACUGCCCCAUAUGUUUCACACCCUAAUUCUGGGAUCUCCUCUAGAUCAUCCUUUUUUAUCGUCAGAAGGUAAAAUGUAAAUACCAUCAGAAACAAAGUAACAACCUCCCAAUUACCAAAUUAAACCAGACAUAUUCAUGAACAAAUUUCCUAUCAUCAUAAAUCAUAAACCAGCUCUAAUAUAAACAGUAAAUCACUCAAAUGGUAUACAAUUCAUCAAUUAAAUAAAACAAAAUGCUCAAAACCAUCUUUCAUCGAAACUCAUUUAAAAAAAAAAGCAACAAAAUGAUAAAAUGGUAAAAUUCUAAUCAUAAAAACCAAAGUCGAGCUUCAUUCUUUUUUUAAAAGAAAAAUAAAUAAAAACUCAGAAUUCAAAACCCAAAGACAUAUAAAUCCAAACAUUCCAAAGCUCAAAUCCAUUAAAAACAAAAAAAAUAAAAAAUAAAAUCAGACAACAAAGAUUAAACCUUUUUUUACAAAUUUAAACAAAAUUAAAAAUUAAAAAACCCGCAAAAGAUUUCACAAUGACAUUAAUUCUUGAGAAAGAAAUUUUCUUGUGAAGCAAGAGAGAGAUAGAGAAGUUUAGAGAUACCGACACGUGAAGGGGCUGUCACCAGUAAGCCCUAGAGGAAACGGCGCUAACCCAACCAGGCUAAGAAAGGAAAAUGAAAUACAAGAUAAAAGAGAGGAUCAGCUAGGGAGAGGGAAAGAGGAAGAAGAAGAAGAAGAAAAAAAUGGAGAAUUUUAAGGUUUGUAAAAAACAUAGUUUCACCUGCAAAUUCAAUUCUUGGUUUUUGAGAUGUUGACCUCAGUCGACGUCACAACUGGAUGAACGGUGGAGGUGGACGCAGGCCGUCGGAGGAGAGUAGCUGCGGAUGGAGAAGAGUGGUGGUUGUCCAGUUAAAGGGGGCUUGGGGUCCGGGAGAGAGAACCAUGAAUAGGGGGAGAUAAAAUGAUAAGAUAAGACUUAGGAUUUAAUCCCUUACUACAACUGAGGACGGAAUAUGGACGAAAAUUUUAUCGGUAUUUUAAAAAUUGAUUUAAACAUAUUUUUUUGUGUUAGGCUAGCCCGACUUAUUAUAAUUAUGCUAAACAUAGGAUCCUGCCAUGCUAGCUCAUUUGGUCCAUUUUGUCAACUCUAGUAUCUAUAUAUUUUUUGUUAAACAUUGGAUAAAAGAGUAUUUUCAAAAUUUUACUAGAUAAUAUUAUACGCCUUCAAUAAAUCUUUU
This 3030-nucleotide long non-coding RNA is filed under the name Durio zibethinus. RNAcentral describes it as "long non-coding RNA (DZIB_LNC001184)". Lineage: Eukaryota; Viridiplantae; Streptophyta; Magnoliopsida; Malvales; Malvaceae. The record is from RNAcentral.